This 995-nucleotide ribosomal RNA is filed under the name Bacillus sp. (in: firmicutes). RNAcentral's name for it is "bacterial SSU rRNA". It matches the Rfam family "Bacterial small subunit ribosomal RNA", at positions 48 to 1028 of the family's 1533-position model. Lineage: Bacteria; Bacillati; Bacillota; Bacilli; Caryophanales; Bacillaceae. The record is from RNAcentral.
AAUAGACAUGCAAGUCGAGCGAACAGAAGGGAGCUUGCUCCCGGAUGUUAGCGGCGGACGGGUGAGUAACACGUGGGUAACCUGCCUGUAAGACUGGGAUAACUCCGGGAAACCGGAGCUAAUACCGGAUAGUUCCUUGAACCGCAUGGUUCAAGGAUGAAAGACGGUUUCGGCUGUCACUUACAGAUGGACCCGCGGCGCAUUAGCUAGUUGGUGGGGUAAUGGCUCACCAAGGCGACGAUGCGUAGCCGACCUGAGAGGGUGAUCGGCCACACUGGGACUGAGACACGGCCCAGACUCCUACGGGAGGCAGCAGUAGGGAAUCUUCCGCAAUGGACGAAAGUCUGACGGAGCAACGCCGCGUGAGUGAUGAAGGUUUUCGGAUCGUAAAGCUCUGUUGUUAGGGAAGAACAAGUGCGAGAGUAACUGCUCGCACCUUGACGGUACCUAACCAGAAAGCCACGGCUAACUACGUGCCAGCAGCCGCGGUAAUACGUAGGUGGCAAGCGUUGUCCGGAAUUAUUGGGCGUAAAGGGCUCGCAGGCGGUUUCUUAAGUCUGAUGUGAAAGCCCCCGGCUCAACCGGGGAGGGUCAUUGGAAACUGGGAAACUUGAGUGCAGAAGAGGAGAGUGGAAUUCCACGUGUAGCGGUGAAAUGCGUAGAGAUGUGGAGGAACACCAGUGGCGAAGGCGACUCUCUGGUCUGUAACUGACGCUGAGGAGCGAAAGCGUGGGGAGCGAACAGGAUUAGAUACCCUGGUAGUCCACGCCGUAAACGAUGAGUGCUAAGUGUUUAGGGGGUUUCCGCCCCUUAGUGCUGCAGCUAACGCAUUAAGCACUCCGCCUGGGGGAGUACGGUCGCAAGACUGAAACUCAAAGGAAUUGACGGGGGCCCGCACAGCGGUGGAGCAUGUGGUUUAAUUCGAAGCAACGCGAAGAACCUUACCAGGUCUUGACUCCUCUGACACCCUAGAGAUAGGCUUUCCUUCGGGACGA